UCAAGUGAAGAAGCGCAUACGGUGGAUGCCUUGGCAGUCAGAGGCGAUGAAAGACGUGGUAGCCUGCGAAAAGCUUCGGGGAGUCGGCAAACAGACUGUGAUCCGGAGAUAUCUGAAUGGGGGAACCCAGCCAUCAUAAGAUGGUUAUCUUGUACUGAAUACAUAGGUGCAAGAGGCGAACCAGGGGAACUGAAACAUCUAAGUACCCUGAGGAAAAGAAAUCAACCGAGAUUCCCUUAGUAGUGGCGAGCGAACGGGGACCAGCCCUUAAGUUGUAUUGAGAUUAGCGGAACGUUCUGGAAAGGACGGCCAUAGUGGGUGAUAGCCCUGUACGCGAAAAUCCCUUUGCAAUGAAAUCGAGUAGGACGGGGCACGAGAAACCUUGUCUGAAUAUGGGGGGACCAUCCUCCAAGGCUAAAUACUACUGACUGACCGAUAGUGAACCAGUACCGUGAGGGAAAGGCGAAAAGAACCGCGGAGAGCGGAGUGAAAUAGAUCCUGAAACCGUAUGCGUACAAGCAGUGGGAGCCCACUUUGUUGGGUGACUGCGUACCUUUUGUAUAAUGGGUCAGCGACUUAUUUUCAGUGGCGAGCUUAACCGAAUAGGGGAGGCGUAGCGAAAGCGAGUCUUAAUAGGGCGUCUAGUCGCUGGGAAUAGACCCGAAACCGGGCGAUCUAUCCAUGGGCAGGUUGAAGGUUGGGUAACACUAACUGGAGGACCGAACCGACUACCGUUGAAAAGUUAGCGGAUGACCUGUGGAUCGGAGUGAAAGGCUAAUCAAGCUCGGAGAUAGCUGGUUCUCCUCGAAAGCUAUUUAGGUAGCGCCUCAUGUAUCACUGUAGGGGGUAGAGCACUGUUUCGGCUAGGGGGUCAUCCCGACUUACCAAACCGAUGCAAACUCCGAAUACCUACAAGUGCCGAGCAUGGGAGACACACGGCGGGUGCUAACGUCCGUCGUGAAAAGGGAAACAACCCAGACCGUCAGCUAAGGUCCCAAAGUCAUGGUUAAGUGGGAAACGAUGUGGGAAGGCUUAGACAGCUAGGAGGUUGGCUUAGAAGCAGCCACCCUUUAAAGAAAGCGUAAUAGCUCACUAGUCGAGUCGGCCUGCGCGGAAGAUGUAACGGGGCUCAAACCAUGCACCGAAGCUACGGGUAUCAUCUUAUGAUGAUGCGGUAGAGGAGCGUUCUGUAAGCCUGUGAAGGUGAGUUGAGAAGCUUGCUGGAGGUAUCAGAAGUGCGAAUGCUGACAUGAGUAACGACAAUGGGUGUGAAAAACACCCACGCCGAAAGACCAAGGUUUCCUGCGCAACGUUAAUCGACGCAGGGUUAGUCGGUCCCUAAGGCGAGGCUGAAAAGCGUAGUCGAUGGAAAACAGGUUAAUAUUCCUGUACUUCUGGUUAUUGCGAUGGAGGGACGGAGAAGGCUAGGCCAGCCUGGCGUUGGUUGUCCAGGUUUAAGGUGGUAGGCUGAGAUCUUAGGUAAAUCCGGGAUCUUAAGGCCGAGAGCUGAUGACGAGUGUUCUUUUAGAACACGAAGUGGUUGAUGCCAUGCUUCCAAGAAAAGCUUCUAAGCUUCAGGUAACCAGGAACCGUACCCCAAACCGACACAGGUGGUUGGGUAGAGAAUACCAAGGCGCUUGAGAGAACUCGGGUGAAGGAACUAGGCAAAAUGGCACCGUAACUUCGGGAGAAGGUGCGCCGGUGGAGGUGAAGCAUUUACUGCGUAAGCCCCUGCCGGUCGAAGAUACCAGGCCGCUGCGACUGUUUAUUAAAAACACAGCACUCUGCAAACACGAAAGUGGACGUAUAGGGUGUGACGCCUGCCCGGUGCCGGAAGGUUAAUUGAUGGGGUUAGCGCAAGCGAAGCUCUUGAUCGAAGCCCCGGUAAACGGCGGCCGUAACUAUAACGGUCCUAAGGUAGCGAAAUUCCUUGUCGGGUAAGUUCCGACCUGCACGAAUGGCGUAACGAUGGCGGCGCUGUCUCCACCCGAGACUCAGUGAAAUUGAAAUCGCUGUGAAGAUGCAGUGUAUCCGCGGCUAGACGGAAAGACCCCGUGAACCUUUACUAUAGCUUUGCACUGGACUUUGAAUUUGCUUGUGUAGGAUAGGUGGGAGGCUUUGAAGCGUGGACGCCAGUCUGCGUGGAGCCAACCUUGAAAUACCACCCUGGCAACUUUGAGGUUCUAACUCAGGUCCGUUAUCCGGAUCGAGGACAGUGUAUGGUGGGUAGUUUGACUGGGGCGGUCUCCUCCUAAAGAGUAACGGAGGAGUACGAAGGUGCGCUCAGACCGGUCGGAAAUCGGUCGUAGAGUAUAAAGGCAAAAGCGCGCUUGACUGCGAGACAGACACGUCGAGCAGGUACGAAAGUAGGUCUUAGUGAUCCGGUGGUUCUGUAUGGAAGGGCCAUCGCUCAACGGAUAAAAGGUACUCCGGGGAUAACAGGCUGAUACCGCCCAAGAGUUCAUAUCGACGGCGGUGUUUGGCACCUCGAUGUCGGCUCAUCACAUCCUGGGGCUGAAGCCGGUCCCAAGGGUAUGGCUGUUCGCCAUUUAAAGUGGUACGCGAGCUGGGUUUAGAACGUCGUGAGACAGUUCGGUCCCUAUCUGCCGUGGACGUUUGAGAUUUGAGAGGGGCUGCUCCUAGUACGAGAGGACCGGAGUGGACGAACCUCUGGUGUUCCGGUUGUCACGCCAGUGGCAUUGCCGGGUAGCUAUGUUCGGAAAAGAUAACCGCUGAAAGCAUCUAAGCGGGAAACUUGCCUCAAGAUGAGAUCUCACUGGAACCUUGAGUUCCCUGAAGGGCCGUCGAAGACUACGACGUUGAUAGGUUGGGUGUGUAAGCGCUGUGAGGCGUUGAGCUAACCAAUACUAAUUGCCCGUGAGGCUUGACCAU
RNAcentral lists this ribosomal RNA (2892 nucleotides) under Pseudomonas syringae pv. syringae 1212. Its description in RNAcentral is "bacterial LSU rRNA". It matches the Rfam family "Bacterial large subunit ribosomal RNA". Lineage: Bacteria; Pseudomonadati; Pseudomonadota; Gammaproteobacteria; Pseudomonadales; Pseudomonadaceae. The record is from RNAcentral.